RNAcentral lists this ribosomal RNA (744 nucleotides) under uncultured bacterium. RNAcentral describes it as "bacterial SSU rRNA". It matches the Rfam family "Bacterial small subunit ribosomal RNA", at positions 758 to 1504 of the family's 1533-position model. The record is from RNAcentral.
AGCCAGGGAGCGAAAGGGAUUAGAUACCCUGUAGUCCUGGCGUAAACGAUGAACACUAGGUGUCGGGGGAAUCGACCCCUUCGGUGUCGUAGCUAACGCGUUAAGUGUUCCGCCUGGGGAGUACGCACGCAAGUGUGAAACUCAAAGGAAUUGACGGGGGCCCGCACAAGCGGUGGAGUAUGUGGUUUAAUUCGAUGCAACGCGAAGAACCUUACCAGGGUUUGACAUCCUGCGAACCUCUUAGAAAUUUGAGGGUGCCUUCGGGAAUGCAGUGACAGGUGGUGCAUGGCUGUCGUCAGCUCGUGUCGUGAGAUGUUGGGUUAAGUCCCGCAACGAGCGCAACCCACGUUUUUAGUUGCCAGCAUUUAGUUGGGCACUCUAGAAAGACCGCCGGUGAUAAACCGGAGGAAGGUGUGGAUGACGUCAAGUCAUCAUGCCCCUUACACCCUGGGCUACACACGUACUACAAUGCUACGGACAAAGGGCAGCAAACUCGCGAGAGCUAGCAAAUCCCAUAAACCGUGGCUCAGUUCAGAUCGUAGGCUGCAACUCGCCUACGUGAAGUAGGAAUCGCUAGUAAUCGCAGGUCAGCAUACUGCGGUGAAUACGUUCCCGGGCCUUGUACACACCGCCCGUCACACCAUGGAAGUUGGCCAUGCCCGAAGUCGUUACUCCAACCCUUGUGGAGGAGGACGCCGAAGGUGGGGCUAAUGACUGGGGUGAAGUCGUAACAAGGUAGCCGUA